AUUGAACGCUGGCGGCGUGCCUAACACAUGCAAGUCGAGCGGUAACAGGUGUAGCAAUACAUGCUGACGAGCGGCGGACGGGUGAGUAACGCUUGGGAAUCUGCCUAUUAGUGGGGGACAACCCGGGGAAACUCGGGCUAAUACCGCAUACGCUCUACGGAGGAAAGCCGGGGACCGCAAGGCCUGGCGCUAAUAGAUGAGCCCAAGUCGGAUUAGCUAGUUGGUAGGGAACGGCCUACCAAGGCUACGAUCCGUAACUGGUCUGAGAGGACGACCAGUCACACCGGAACUGAGACACGGUCCGGACUCCUACGGGAGGCAGCAGUGGGGAAUAUUGGACAAUGGGGGAAACCCUGAUCCAGCGACGCCGCGUGGGUGAAGAAGGCCUGCGGUUGUAAAGCCCUUUCAGUGGGAAGAAAAGCCUCGACCUAACACGUCGGGGUCUUGACGUAACCCAUAGAAGAAGCACCGGCCAACUCUGUGCCAGCCGCCG
RNAcentral lists this ribosomal RNA (493 nucleotides) under uncultured bacterium. RNAcentral describes it as "bacterial SSU rRNA". It matches the Rfam family "Bacterial small subunit ribosomal RNA", at positions 29 to 517 of the family's 1533-position model. The record is from RNAcentral.